RNAcentral lists this unclassified non-coding RNA (348 nucleotides) under soil metagenome. RNAcentral describes it as "partial contains 5.8S ribosomal RNA, internal transcribed spacer 2, and large subunit ribosomal RNA". The stretch from base 1 to 120 matches the Rfam family "5.8S ribosomal RNA", at positions 35 to 154 of the family's 154-position model. The record is from RNAcentral.
GAUGAAGAACGUAGCAAAAUGCGAUAAGUAAAGUGAAUUGCAGAAUUCAGUGAAUCAUCGAAUCUUUGAACGCACAUUGCGCCCGCUGGUAUUCCGGCGGGCAUGCCUGUUCGAGCGUCAUUUCAACCCUCAAGCCCCCGGGUUUGGUGUUGGGGAUCGGCUCUGCCCUUCUGGGCGGUGCCGCCCCCGAAAUACAUUGGCGGUCUCGCUGCAGCCUCCAUUGCGUAGUAGCUAACACCUCGCAACUGGAACGCGGCGCGGCCAUGCCGUAAAACCCCAACUUCUGAAUGUUGACCUCGGAUCAGGUAGGAAUACCCGCUGAACUUAAGCAUAUCAAUAAGCGGAGGA